Corapipo altera (White-ruffed manakin) is the source of this 754-nucleotide long non-coding RNA. RefSeq lists it as uncharacterized. The transcript has 2 exons. NCBI's taxonomy places the organism in Eukaryota, Metazoa, Chordata, Aves, Passeriformes, Pipridae. The record is from RefSeq and is a predicted model, not a curated record.
ACACUCCUGUGAAGUUUGGCCAAAAACAGGAACAGGCCACAGUCACUGGCAGAAAUAGCUGCAAUCCCUCACACUACACAUAUCAGCAACGAAAUGGUCCUGCCCCAAUAUAUGAGCCCUUCUAGCAAGAAAAUCACUGCCAGCCUCCCUGUAUUUGUAUAGUUAGUAGUGUUUGUAUAGUUAGUGCCUUUUGGAAGCAAGCUCUCAUAUCUGAAGUGUUAUAAAGCGGUUUCUGUUUAUUUAUAGCUUUUACCAGAGAGUCAAAUGGAGGAGAAUAAAUAACAGAAAAGAAUAACCAGGGAAAAGUUUGAGAGAACAGAACGUUUUUAAAGAUCUGACAAAUCUGAGAGACAAAGAAGCAUUCUCCAUCUGGUGACGUGUCCCGUGACUCCCCGCCCCACGGGAGGUACUGGGCGUUCCCACCUGAGCCCGAAUGUAUGUAACUCCUGAGAUCUUUGAGUUUUGAGGGGAGGAGAGGGCUUCCCCCAAACGAUCAAGACCAUCACUUGGACAGGACUGUGACCACCAUCUUCAACCAACAGAACACUGAAGGUGCAACUACCAAGUUUCAUCGCUGGAUCCAGUGAGUGGUGACUACAUAUAUCUUUCCAUUUUUAUCCUUUCUUUCUCUUCCUUACACAUUUCCUUAAGUGUUACUUUUAUGCUUUAAUAUUGCUGUAUUACUUUAGAUGAUAAGAAGCAAAACGGCUACACACCUGUUUUCCUUUGAAACAAAAUUGCUCUAAAAUAAACC